Molecule: long non-coding RNA, 447 nt
Organism: Neofelis nebulosa (Clouded leopard)
Lineage: Eukaryota; Metazoa; Chordata; Mammalia; Carnivora; Felidae
Exons: 5
Source: RefSeq, a predicted model, not a curated record
UAUGACAUCGUCUACCAUCAUCAAUUUACACAGAAAGCAAGCUAGCAUGCAGCGACAAUCAUACCGAGCAUUCAAAGCAAAUACCUUGACUCCACAGACCCCAUAAAAGCACGACAACUAACUAAAGGACAGCAGAAGGAGAACUGCAUUAAAAGGGAUAGGUAUGUUAAGUCAGGCACCUUGGAGCCAUCUCAACUCAAACCAGGUGGAUUCAUCCUGAAGAGCAGCAAGACCUGAAAACUUCUACAGGACCAAACAGAUACAUUUCAUCUUAAUGGACAAAAGGCUGAUAAAUCUGACACCACAGAUAGAUAAAAGCACUUGGGAUAAGCAGCAUAAAGGGGAGUACAGAAUCCAUUCUUCCAAAGAAGCUAAGGAUCAAGAGAAUGAGAAGAUAAACCACAGACUGACAGUAAAUAUUUGCAAAAGCCCUAUCUGAUUAAGAAU